This 123-nucleotide small nuclear RNA is filed under the name Tupaia belangeri chinensis (Chinese tree shrew). Its description in RNAcentral is "Tupaia chinensis (Chinese tree shrew) U4 spliceosomal RNA". It matches the Rfam family "U4 spliceosomal RNA". Rfam says of the family: U4 small nuclear RNA (U4 snRNA) is a component of the major U2-dependent spliceosome. The structure of U4 snRNA from yeast and human has been reported. Lineage: Eukaryota; Metazoa; Chordata; Mammalia; Scandentia; Tupaiidae. The record is from Rfam by way of RNAcentral.
AGCUUUGCGCAGUGGCAGUAUCAUAGCCAAUGAGGUUUAUCCGAGGCGCGAUUAUUGCUAAUUGAAAAUAUAAUAUGAUAUAUUUUAUUUAUAUAUACAAAUAUAUGAUAUAUAAAUAAAUAU